RNAcentral lists this ribosomal RNA (503 nucleotides) under Phyllodocidae sp. NJ_200529. Its description in RNAcentral is "partial 16S ribosomal RNA". It matches the Rfam family "Bacterial large subunit ribosomal RNA", at positions 1817 to 2597 of the family's 2925-position model. Lineage: Eukaryota; Metazoa; Annelida; Polychaeta; Phyllodocida; Phyllodocidae. The record is from RNAcentral.
AGCCUUUUGUUUUUUUAUAUAAGGUGAAUUCUGCCCGGUGAUAUAGUUUUAACGGCCGCGGUAUUUUGACCGUGCAAAGGUAGCAUAAUUAUUUGCCUCUUAAUUAGAGGCUGGAAUGAAUGGAUAUACGAGAUUCAAGCUGUCUCAUUUUUAAUUAUAAAAAUUGGUUUUUAAGUGAAGAAACUUAAAUUUUAAUGUAGGACAAAAAGACCCUAUUGAGCUUUAUUUAUUAAGAAUAUUUUUAGACUACUUUACUUUAAUAUUAAAUAUAAAUUUGGUUGGGGCAACAAAGAAAUAUGCAGAUUUUUCUUUAGAUUUAAGAAUUAUUUUUCUUUCAAAUGAUCUAUAUAAAUGAUAAGAAGAAAGAGUUACCAUAGGGAUAACAGGCUAAUUUUUUUUUAGAGUUCAUAUUGACGAAAAAGUUUGGCACCUCGAUGUUGGCUUAGGAUAUCCUACAGGUGUAGAAGUUUGUAAGGGUUGGUUUGUUCAACCAUUAAAAUCCU